GGGGAUGUAGCUUAGUUGUAGAGCACUUGCCUGGCAUGCAUGAAGCCCUGAGUUCAAUUCUCAGCAUUGCCA
Molecule: transfer RNA, 72 nt
Filed under: Marmota marmota marmota (Alpine marmot)
Lineage: Eukaryota; Metazoa; Chordata; Mammalia; Rodentia; Sciuridae
Also listed under: 1 other name
Rfam family: tRNA
About the family: Transfer RNA (tRNA) molecules are approximately 80 nucleotides in length. Their secondary structure includes four short double-helical elements and three loops (D, anti-codon, and T loops).
Source: Rfam by way of RNAcentral